Long non-coding RNA from Capsicum annuum, 1908 nucleotides. RefSeq lists it as uncharacterized. The transcript is spliced from 2 exons. The record is from RefSeq and is a predicted model, not a curated record. Lineage: Eukaryota; Viridiplantae; Streptophyta; Magnoliopsida; Solanales; Solanaceae.
GAAAUGCUUAAAAUUAUAAUAUUAAUUAUUACUACUUUCUUUUGUCUUUAUUUCCUAUUUCAUUAAUUUUAAUUGGAUAUGUGAUGUUAUUGAUUUUCGUUUAAGCUUCUCCUAAUUGAAUGAUUUAAAACUCAAAUAGUAAAGUACUUGGAUUGUCAUUUUUGGGGAAUUUUUUUUGUGAUAAUUACAAUGUUCGGAUUAACUUUCACUUGAUUGGUAUGUGAUUAAAUUUGAGUUAUUUUAUUUUUAAAGGUAUGACAAGUGUUUUUAGCGAUAUAUAAAUAUAAUAAAAUGAGACAUAUAAGUGAUGAGAUAGCACAUUUCUUAGGCUAUGAUCAUGACUCGUAUUUGUCUUUUUUCAUUUUUCUUCUUCUUUAUUUCUCUACAAAAUUAUUUAAUCACUUUUUUCCUCACUAAAAUUAGUUGUUGUUCACAAGUCAAGAGAUUCAAUGCCUUUUCAAAUAUUGAAAAAGUACUAUUGACUUCUUUUAUAUAAUAUUUAUGAAUCCAUUUUACCCUUUGCAAAUUUCAUCCUUUGAUUUUUACACUACACAAAUAUUUAAUAUAUUAUGAUUGAUGAUAUGAUAAAUAUACAUGCAGAAACAACAAAAUUGAAUAUUAUCAUUUGGUUUGAAAAGUAGGAAGAGAAAUCCACGAUAAUCAUCUACAGGUCAUGAAUUUAUAAGAGGAACAUAACAAUAAAUGUAUUUUUUAGUAAUAUCAUUUUUUCUUCAUAUUGUUAUUCUUUUUUGUUUCAAUAGAGUAGUUUCAUAAAAAUGUGUCAAUUACUAAAUUUUUCGAGAGUUAUUUAUAGAAAAUUUGAGUUUUUAAAAAAAUUCACUGUAAUCUUUAUCUAUAACAGGAGAAUGACUAUAAAGUUAUUUGUAUUACUUCUAAUUUUAAUUUUUUCCUCCGAUAUUGCUUUUUAUUAAACACGAAACUAAGUGUUAAAUAAAUUAGAAUUUAAACUCUAAUUUAUUUUAAUUUGAAGGUUGUCAAAAAUCUUUAAAAUUUCAUAAAUUUAAUUUAUAUUUUUAUAGUAGUUCCUGCUAUCACAAUUAAACUACAUUGAUAGUGUAAAAAUACUUUAUAUUGUCGUUGUACGUACGUUUUUUUUUUUUUUUGGUUUAAUAUUGCUUUUUAUUAAUAUUAAAGAAACAAAUUGUUUUAACAUCACAUGACCCGCUCCAACCCGUGUCUCUUAACGCAAUACAAAAAACAAAAACCUACAACUAAACACUUAGUGUAAGUAGGGUUUCUAAAAAGAAAUCAUCUUUCCCCUCUAAGCUGAUGCUCCUCUUCCUUUGUAGCUCAAUUUUCUUCCUUGCUCUUCCCUCACUUGUCUUCCUUUUUGAUGAUUCAGCUUCCGAUCUUCACGUUCUUGGACUGUAUUGAGCUGAUUAAUCCAAAUUAUCUCCAUAUACAUGUAAUAAUUUAGAGUAAUCUGUAUCUUUCUGUACUUGCUGCUCCUGUACUGUAACAUCAUCUCCAAUUCUGAGCAGAUCUGCAGUGAAAGAGUCUAGAUUUACCCAUAGAGGCUUGACUCCUUUCUGAAGGCUUUGAUGGACCCAACUUGAGGAGCAGAUGCAACUAAGGAAAUCAAAUCCACACCUGAAAUCACAAACUGGUUAACUAAUGGAUUGCAGCAUUACCUUCCACCUGAAGUUGAGCCAAACUUAAAGAAACUUGGAUUAGCAGGCCACAGCCGUGGAGGAAAAGUUGCAUUUGCAUUAGCUCUUGGCAGACUUGCUAGUAUUUCUAUUGACCUGAAAUUCUCGGCAUUAAUCGCAGUGGCAGAUCCAAGAAUUUUCUUCGGGGGUUUGAAAAAUAAAAAUAUAAAUGUGUGAAUAAGCCAACAAAAUAUAAUUUCAAGGGACUAAUAUAAAAUACUUAAACUUAUAUUUUUAA